This is a long non-coding RNA of Portunus trituberculatus (swimming crab), 586 nucleotides long. RefSeq lists it as uncharacterized. The transcript has 3 exons. NCBI's taxonomy places the organism in Eukaryota, Metazoa, Arthropoda, Malacostraca, Decapoda, Portunidae. The record is from RefSeq and is a predicted model, not a curated record.
UUCUCCCGAGUCCACGUGGCAGGGGUAGUUAUAGUGGUGGGCGCCGUGUUUGGAGUGGAGGAGGUGAACGGAGUGUUAGGAAGGCUGUUAGUAAGGUUGCUGCCACGCCCACCACUGCUACUGCCAGCCCACGGUGACGCCCAGGCUGCCUCUCAUCUUCAAGUGUUAGCAAAGUCAGUGGUGGGGGGCCAAGACGGCGUGCUAUGGAGGAGGUUGGCAGGGGUGAUGGCAGGGGUGCUGUCCUGUCCCUCUCCCCUUACACCCUGGCGCCCCCCCUCGGUCUCUCCCCGGCUCAGGUAGGAACAGCGCUAGAGUCAGGCGGCAGUUUAGCAGGACUCGCUAAACUUGGAAAGGAAGUUAGCGGUGGUGGCGGUGGUGGUGAUGGUGGCGGUGGCAGGGAGGGCGAGGCUUGGCAGAGGGCAGGGGUGAGCGGGCCCUGUCUCGCUGCCCUUGUCGCCACCCUAGAGAAAGAUACCGUCACCCUGUAGAGAGAGAGAGAGAGAGAGAGAGACUGUUAGCAUUAUCUUACUACUACUACUACUACUACUACUACUACUACUACCACCACCACUACUACUAUCACCAC